Long non-coding RNA from Delphinapterus leucas (beluga whale), 1171 nucleotides. RefSeq lists it as uncharacterized. The record is from RefSeq and is a predicted model, not a curated record. Lineage: Eukaryota; Metazoa; Chordata; Mammalia; Artiodactyla; Monodontidae.
CUCCGGGUCCGCCCGCGCCCUGGAGCCGGCGGCCAGGGGACCUGCUGCCAAGGAGGGGGCGGCGGCGGGGCCGGGAACGCGCGGCCCGGCCUGGCUGAGGAACCAGCAGGCCCCCACAGGCCCUCGUACAGUGCCUCCAGGGUCUUAAACCUGCCGCAGCCAUGUGAUUACCCUGAUCUAUCUGCUGGGAGAUGAGCAAAGCUCGGAGAGGGACCAGAUCUCAGCAGAGAUGAAACCAGCAGCAGUUCCUGAACACCCACCCCGCAGUGGUUCCAGAAGUGCAACAUGGACCAACCUGUGAGCAUUUGCUCUUCCUCAGGGGCAGCCACGAGAUACAGAAACAAUGGGAUUAGGAUAUAUCAAGACAGGAACGCUUGCUCCCUUGCCUGCCAACAUUCUCCUUGUCCCUGUCAUAUCUAUGUAUGUGAAACUGUAAGUGAAUUAUGGUUUCUGGUGAUACAAUUGCAACAGCACAGAAAUUCUGAUUACUUCAAACAACAUUCUUCCCCAGGCUCUAGCCUCAAUAAAGAAAUGUUAACACGCUUGGCAGUUUUUCAGCUUAUGGUUCCUCCUGUUGUCUCUAGAAGUCAGGCUGUUAUAAAGUGUCUCUAGGCAGCACUCAUUCAACAGCCAAGAAGAGACACGCCAGAAUUGCUUUUUGGAGCAGCCUUGUAAAAACCAAAGUCCUUCAACUCAGAACUUGAAGAAGCUACCAAUUAAAAGGGACCUGUGCUGAGCAGGUAACACUUGAAGCUGUGGUGAUGCAGUUAGGCCAAACCUGUAGAAGCUGCUUUAGUAGAAGAGCUGGUAAAGUAAAUGAAAAAAGCAGCACAGACUUCACAGUGCAGGAGAGGAACUAUUUAAUUAAUCUUCCUCUCAAACAUUUUUCAAGUAUGAGAAUGUUUUCUUUAAAAAUAAGGAACCAGGGUAACCAUGACCUUCUUUAGAAUCAGAUCAGUAUGUGGCAUACCGGAGCUGACCACCUCCCGGUACUCCCCACUGCCAGCAAGUAUGAGGUUUGGUUUUCCAAGGCUGAUGCUACUCUGUGCUGCCAGGGCUCUAACAUAUGGAUUUAUGUUUCCUUGUAUGUAUCACCAAACCAAUCACAUACCUCUUUGUCUGUAAAAUGAGAUUUAUCCUUCUCUUGUUCUGGAGUUAGAUAGAGAAUUUU